UUGGUUGUUUGGCUAGCGACUGUCUUGCGGGCUGCGACACUCUUGCGCUCAAUCAGCGCUGAUUUGGAGGAGGGUGGCUUCUUGCUACGAGCGCAGUCACAAGAGCGAAUCACCGCCUUUCCAAGUACACCACGUUCCGUCAUUCAGUGCGAUUUAUUUCAAUAGACUUCAACAAUCUGUUCAUUGUUUUAUCGUCCCAAAGGAAGCGCAAGCAAAGUACUAUAUCUCUAAAAUGCUGACUCACUUCACUUUAUUCGGAACACCUUGCUAAUGCCAUUAAUCUACGAUCGUGGUUGUAGUUUGCAGAUUACAACCAAAAUAAACAAUUAUUUGUUAGUGUUCCUUCCCCCACCCACUUAUUUUGCAUUUGAAGGGUUACUGAAAGCAGACAUUUGGGAAAAUUCGUCGUGUGAGCCCAUCCAAUGAAGUACGUCUGACGGACGUUGUGAGAAGGCACCUGUUGUUUUGCAUGCUCAUGACCACCGCCUAGCAAAACUACCGAAUAUGUCAAACAAGACGCCACACUGCCAUCUUGGAUCACUUCCACCCGUAAUGUUUGCAUGCUGGCCAAGGGCAAGUGCUUCCCAUGCAGUCCUGUCACUGAUACCACAUCCAAGAAUUAGGGCUGCUUCUUUCCUCAUCACUUGUCAAGAGUUUCCCUGUAAAACUCGCCACGCUGAGCAUCCUCCAUCACCAACGGCCCUGCCUGACAGAAGCCAUUUUCUGUGAUGUAGACCACUGGGUCACCAAAUGUGUCCUGGAAAGCGAAGGACAAAUGAAUGGUUUCCAUAGUUCAACGCGCAAUAAUGAAGACAUGGUGGCAAACAGGCAACCUAAUCUCGCCGCAGUCUCAUUAGUGAUUUGGAAUUGGUUUGGCUUUGCAGCACGAGAUGAGGGGGGGGGGGGAAACUUCUCACAUGAUAGCCUAGUAAUACUGUACCCUAUCUAUCUCUCUAUCCUCUCUACAGGAUUAUUUUCUUUCCAAAAUUAUGUUUAUGAAAAGUAGGUAACUUACUUGACAAGCACAGUGAAUGCCCCUCCGGGAAUAGCAAAAAAAAUAAAAUAAAAAAUAUCCACAAAUAACGCC
This is a long non-coding RNA of Hippocampus comes (tiger tail seahorse), 1087 nucleotides long. RefSeq lists it as uncharacterized. Lineage: Eukaryota; Metazoa; Chordata; Actinopteri; Syngnathiformes; Syngnathidae. The transcript is spliced from 5 exons. The record is from RefSeq and is a predicted model, not a curated record.